Ictalurus punctatus (channel catfish) is the source of this 590-nucleotide long non-coding RNA. NCBI's taxonomy places the organism in Eukaryota, Metazoa, Chordata, Actinopteri, Siluriformes, Ictaluridae. The record is from Ensembl.
UCAAUGAUUGCUGGAGCUCUGGAAAUAGCAGGUGAGAUUGCAGGCCGGAGUCGCGUCACUGUCCAAGGAACCAAAAUCAACCUCCUCUACUCCUGAGACCACAGUGUGACUGAGAGCCUAGACUACAUGGCUACUUGGAACAUGAACAUGUUGCAGACACAGGAUCUUAUGAAGUCAGCGCAGGCAGCCCUGGAAAAGAAGAGUCCGAAAGACGUGCCCUUCUCCAAGCUUUAAAGGAGAAGAUCCAGGGCUGUUGAAGCUGCGAUGGAACUGAGACAUCAUCAUCCACAUAUCUUUAGUUCUUCUUGCUAAGAGAACGAGAAACUCGGACACAACAGUACAUCCUGACCAUUGGUACUGUGUACACAUCAACAUACACACACGUCUCCAUGCUGGACAUCUCAGGAGCUUUCACAAACAGUGCUAGGAAUAUCCCGGGACAGAGAAACGCACCUUCUAAGAAAAGAAAUGAUCUUUCGAGGCAGCUUCUUCAUCACUACCUGCUCUGUUUGACUCAAAAAUGUAACGACCGGUUUCAAAAAGUCACGAUGUCUUCAGUUCAUGUGAUUUUACUGUUGAAUUUAAACAGG